AGUCUUGGGCUAUUCGGCCACGUGCCUGCCGGACAUGGGACGCUGGAGGGUCAGCAGCGUGGAGUCCUGGCCUUUUGCGUCCACGGGUGGGAAAUUGGCCAUUGCCACGGCGGGAACUGGGACUCAGGCUGCCCCCCGGCCGUUUCUCAUCCGUCCACCGGACUCGUGGGCGCUCGCACUGGCGCUGAUGUAGUUUCCUGACCUCUGACCCGUAUUGUCUCCAGAUUAAAGGUACGACAUUUGGAGGCCCCAGCGAGAAACGUCACCGGGAGAAACGUCACCGGGCGAGAGCCGGGCCCGCUGUGUGCUCCCCCGGAAGGACAGCCAGCUUGUAGGGGGGAGUGCCACCUGAAAAAAAAAUUUCCAGGUCCCCAAAGGGUGACCGUCUUCCGGAGGACAGCGGAUCGACUACCAUGUGGGUGCCCACAAAAAUUCCACCUCUGAGUCCUCAACUGCUGACCCCGGGGUCAGACACGGGGUUUCACCAUGUUGGCCAGGCCGGUCUUGAACUUGUGACGUCAGGUGAUGCACCCGCCUUGGCCUCCCAAAGUGCUGGGAUUACAGGUCCAGAUUUUGAACAAAUCUCGCUAGAGAUUGAACAGAGCUGCGCCUGGAUCCCGCCACAGUGAGGAGACCUGAAGACCAGAGAAAACACAGCAAGCCCCUGGAUCCUCCUGGAAUCCCCGAUCCCUCUUGCUCCCUGGCAGAGUUUUCUAGUCCCUCUUACUUGAAGCAUGUCUUUCAGAGCCCGGCACCACCCAUCUUGAGUAUCUGGUGAGUUCUGUGGUCUGCAUGUCCAUGUUUGGGACAUUCUGGGAAGGGUGGCCCAGGCUGUGAUUUGCCAUCUACUGCAGGCUAUGGAUGGUAUUCAGAAGGGAGGGGAGAUGCUGUGUGCGUGUUCUGAAGGGUUUCCCACUAAACAGAUCAACCCUCUCCAUAACUAUUUGAUUUUUACUUUAUCUCCUCGUUGACUUCACAGUGUCAGUGCAGUUUGUGUAAACAUCUCUAUGGGGUGAUGCAUGCAGAUAAAUGUUUAUGUGAACAUAUAAAGUCUGCAUGUGUGGGUGAACACUCCACAUCAGGUCAUUGUCCAUCAUUACAUAUCUGUGGUGUCUGGCUCAUUCGUCUCGUUUUCUGUCAUUUUACCUACUUUUACCUGAAGUACAAUGACUAUUUAAUAACUAUUAAAUGUUUCAUUUCAGCUACA
RNAcentral lists this long non-coding RNA (1207 nucleotides) under Homo sapiens (human). RNAcentral describes it as "long intergenic non-protein coding RNA 665". Lineage: Eukaryota; Metazoa; Chordata; Mammalia; Primates; Hominidae. The record is from RNAcentral.